UGUGUGAUACUCAAGUGGUUAACGAGGAUAGACUGUAAAUCUAUUAGCUUUGCUUUCGGGAGUUCGAAUCUCUCUCACACAA
This 82-nucleotide transfer RNA is filed under the name Bacteriophage sp. Its description in RNAcentral is "tRNA-Tyr". It matches the Rfam family "tRNA". From Rfam's summary of the family: Transfer RNA (tRNA) molecules are approximately 80 nucleotides in length. Their secondary structure includes four short double-helical elements and three loops (D, anti-codon, and T loops). RNAcentral also lists the same sequence under 1 other name. The record is from RNAcentral.